This is a long non-coding RNA of Nicrophorus vespilloides, 554 nucleotides long. RefSeq lists it as uncharacterized. Lineage: Eukaryota; Metazoa; Arthropoda; Insecta; Coleoptera; Silphidae. The record is from RefSeq and is a predicted model, not a curated record. The transcript has 3 exons.
UAUAUUAAAUUGAAGAUAAAAGAUGAUUUUACAUAAGGAUGAUAUCAUUUGAAGUAUUAUUAAAUAUUACAAAUGUUUGUGUUUCAUCAUAAUUAAAAAAGGUUCCAUCAUCCUGUCUUCCGAAGGAGUAUGAUAUUAACGGAUGUUGUGAAGACAUCACCAAUUGGAGUAUUCAAGUAAAAAGGGUUCCCAAACUGUGCUACAGGGUCGCCGCAAACCGAAAAACUUUUAAAGUAUUUCAAUUAAAGAAUGGAAAAAAACUGCAAAUCACACGGACAAUAUACAUGUAAUUGCCUCGUAACAUUCGGCACAAUAGAGAUUUUACUACCGAUAAUUAAAGCACAUGUAUUAAGCCAAGAUUCGAAUUCGUUUUACCAUCACUAUUAUCCGAGUUUAACAAGUAAACAAACAGCAAGAGUAAACCGAAGUAAUGAAAGCUUUAACAGUGGUGUUGAUUAUUGCGAUGGUCAUGCUGGCUAUUUGCAACACUAUUAAUGGGCAGGUACUUGAAACACACCAUGUCCCAGAAAUAGAUCCCAGGACUGUGAUAAAGA